ACCACGUGACACAGCACUGCCCCCACCGGGACCCGUGCCCCCUUUUCGGCAAUCCUCCUCCCUUCCCCCACCUCCACCUCCCCUCUGCCUCCCGCCAAGCCCGCUUCGCCCGAUCGCCCGCCCUCUCUGCAAAGGAGAAAGAGACUCCACCGAAUGCACCCUUAGGGCGCAGCAGCCAGUAAGGGUCCUUCCUCUCCCGGUGACCGCUGAAAGCCCCUUUGUCUCAACCCGGGCCCCCGAGGCCCGCAGCCCCGCCCCCUCGCUCUUGCUCAAUCGGUCUCUUGUCAAUCAAACCUGGUGCCAAAGCACUGCAACUCAAGUUUUUAGGAACUCAUUCCUCUUCUUCCCCUGGAGACUAAGUUACAACGUGUGAUUUCCUCACCCGUGUCCCAGCAGAACAAAUAAGCGGAUACUCUAACUCCACUCUUGGUGCGGGACUUUUCGUCUAGCUCUCUAGGAAAAAAAAAAAAAAAAAUCCGAACUUCUGUAUAUUCUGAUUAAACUUAUCCAACGCUGAAUCGGCAGAAAAGGACCUGGGUUUAGUUCACAGCACCC
Onychomys torridus (southern grasshopper mouse) is the source of this 555-nucleotide long non-coding RNA. RefSeq lists it as uncharacterized. The record is from RefSeq and is a predicted model, not a curated record. NCBI's taxonomy places the organism in Eukaryota, Metazoa, Chordata, Mammalia, Rodentia, Cricetidae. The transcript has 3 exons.